GACGAACGCUGGCGGCGUGCUUAACACAUGCAAGUCGAACGGUGAAGCUCCAGCUUGCUGGAGUGGAUCAGCGGCGAACGGGUGAGUAACACGUGAGCAACCUGCCCCUGACUCUGGAAUAAGCGCUGGAAACGGCGUCUAAUACUGGAUACGAGAAGGGUCCGCAUGGGCACUUUCUGGAAAGUUUUUCGGUUGGGGAUGGGCUCGCGGCCUAUCAGCUUGUUGGUGAGGUAAUGGCUCACCAAGGCGACGACGGGUAGCCGGCCUGAGAGGGCGACCGGCCACACUGGGACUGAGACACGGCCCAGACUCCUACGGGAGGCAGCAGUGGGGAAUAUUGCACAAUGGGCGAAAGCCUGAUGCAGCGACGCCGCGUGAGGGAUGACGGCCUUCGGGUUGUAAACCUCUUUCAGCAGGGAAGAAGCGAAAGUGACGGUACCUGCAGAAGAAGCACCGGCUAACUACGUG
Molecule: ribosomal RNA, 468 nt
Filed under: uncultured bacterium
Lineage: Bacteria
Description: partial 16S ribosomal RNA
Rfam family: Bacterial small subunit ribosomal RNA
Source: RNAcentral